This is a non-coding RNA of Oncorhynchus mykiss (rainbow trout), 735 nucleotides long. Lineage: Eukaryota; Metazoa; Chordata; Actinopteri; Salmoniformes; Salmonidae. The record is from RefSeq and is a predicted model, not a curated record.
AUAGGCUGUCAUUCUAAAUAAGAAUGUGUUCUUAACUGACUUGCCUAAUUAAAUAAAGGUUGAAAAAAAUCUAAAUGUCAUGUUUUUUCUUUGUCAUGUCUCUGGAAGAACAAUCCGCAUAACGCCUGUGUACUGGAUCUGAUGGUUAGUCAGCUGAGAUGGCAGAUUUUGAAGAUUCAGCUGCAAAUCUGCAUUGGACUGAAAGAGUGGAAUAAGCCGUCGGACACCCCAGACAAGAAAGAACGGGGCAUCAAAAAGUGAAGGCGGUCUUGCCAGAGACAGGAUGUGGUCAGUCGGUCAAAAGAAAUCUGCUGAGGUGAUGCAGCAACUUGCGAAGGCAACUGAAGACAUGAUGUCUGAUGUGGAGACAGACCCAGAGGAUACUGAUGCAUUUUUCAUAACCUCCCCACCAUGCCUCUCCCCUGAGUUUGAGGACCUGAUUGUGUCAGCAGACCGGAUAAAAGGCCAAGCGUGCUUAUGGGGAGAAAAGGCUCCUUCAGAACAAAAACCAGAGCAACCAUCCACGUCCACCGCAGCCCUAUCCAGAACAUCUGAUUGUGCAAUAGACCACAGACAAUCACCUGCAAAGGUCCUCUGCACCCACAUUACUAAGAAAUUGGCAUAGUUCAAGCAUACCAUCACAGUUGUGAAGAGGGCACGACAGCACCUCUUUUCCGUCAGGAGGCUGAAAAGAUUUGCCAUGGGCCCUCAGAUCCUCAAAGUUCGACAGCUGCA